AAGGAGGGGUAGGCUCCUCCGUGGCCCGUGGGAGCGCCGCCCCCUGUCGGACGCAGCCCGCAUUACGCGUCGACUCCCGAGUGUGCUAGGUUAACUCUUGGUUUUCUGCCGUGUCUCCGUCUCGGGGUAAACGCUCGACGCUGCGGCAGGUGCGACUUGCGAGGAGGCGGCGUUCCGCCUCCGGCCACCGCCCCCGGCCUCCAAGCCCUUUUACACGAUCCGGGGCCAUCUUGCGUGGAUGUGGCCUUCGUUCAAGAGGACCUGGCCGCUCUAUAAAUGCUGCACGUGCGGCAGGGCGUAUCGGUGGAAGAGCACGCUCAAACGCCACGAGGAGUUCGAAUGCGGGGGCAAAGCCCCGACGCACCCUUGCCCGUACUGCAAUUAUAAAUCGAAGCAGAAGGGCAACCUCGGCGUCCAUAUAAGGAAGCACCACCCCGAACGGUCUAUCCCCGAGCGUAAAUGACAUAAAGUUGUUCCUUUGAAUUUUUUUAAUUUUUUUAUAGUCUUUAUAUUUUAGUCCUUUUGUUUUGCUGUUGUGUAUAGAAUUUGGACUCGGAUAGUUUUUUUAAAUUUUUUCAUAUAGUUAUCAAUGAACUAUUCAAUUUAGGUGUUAAGUAAGAAAAAAAGAAACAAUUAAAGUUUAAUAAGUUACCAGUAAUUUAUUUUUUAUUUUUUUUAAGUUUGACCAAAAAAGGUCAUUGCUGUGGUUCGUUGUGUACUAAAUUGUUCAUUUGUUUGUCUCUAUUACAAACUUAGCUUUCACCGGUAAUGUACUGCAUGUUUUCAAUAGUAUUUAAUAAAAACAAAAGUUCAUAAAAGCUAAAGAAGGCUAUGUCAGUGAUUUUUUGCAGGAUAAUUUUGUGAUAAAUUGAUAAAUCAUGAAUUAUGUGUUAACUCAAAUUUAUUUUUGCCCAGCGCUUAGUCAGUUAAAUAUUUUUUAAUUAUUAUUGAUUAUUUAACUUAUUUAAAAUUUAUUAAUUUUUGUUGCAUCUGUUAAAUUAAUUUUUAGGGGGGGGAUUCUUAAAUAUGCCUACCAGUUUUAUUGUUCGCGUAAAUGAAGAACGAUGGGUGCCAAUUAUUUCUAAAGAAAAUUAAAAGUAAGAGGAUAUUUUUUUACAGUGGUGGUGCUUCCAUGUUCCUAUCCUAUCAAACCCUACGCCUAUUUAUUUAUUUCUAAAUAUUUUAAAGACCAGAGGAUUAUCAAAUUGUCUAUAAUUUUAAUUCUUGGGCACAAAUUUUUGAAUUGUUUUAUUUAUAUGUGCCUUGAAUUAUAUGUGUGCCAAAAUGUGUAAACUAAUAACACGAAAGUUAAAAAAAAAAAGUGUGCAAUGAUGUUUUUAUGGUUUGAUUUUUGUUGUGUUGUUAUUUUAUAAUUUGAACAAAAUUUUUUUUUUAUAUAAAUUCAAAAGAGAUUUUAAUGUAACCAAGAGAUACCAUGAUUUAACUGUGAUUUGUCAUUAAUUAAUUGUAAGUUUUAUUUGCUCAAUUGGAGAAUAAAAACUGUUGCUUUACAAGAAAAAAAAUUCAAAAUUAGAAUUGUGAUUUAAAUAAGAAAUAACCCCCUUUAUCCCUUUGUAUAUACAAAUCUUUUUCCUCUCAAUUGUGGACGAUGUAGUUUGAGAUGUGUUAAUCGAGCUUUUUUCUUUCUGUUCCCGAUUCAGACUGCGACAGGGUCAAACGAGACCACAGCUACGUACAGGAGGCGGCAGUGCGGUGCGGAUUCUGCGGUAAACUAUACAGGCACAGGCGACACUUGAAACGUCACCUGGCGACCGAAUGCGGUCGGGAACCUCAACUUAAAUGCCCGCUCUGCCCUUACAAAUCUAUCAAAAACAACCUGUUAUCGCGACACAUCAAGUUGAAGCAUUCUUAAAAGAAAAAACCUUUAAUCAUUUUAAACUAGGCGAAAAGGUAACUAUAACAUUUUUACAAUUAUUUGUAUGAUUCGUUUUGAACUGAUACUCUUCCGUUUUGUUUUCAGGCUUGGAGAGAAUCUAUAAAGGGAAUAUUUUCGCCAAAAUAAGGGCAUUUGAUCCAAAAGGAUGGCUUUGAUUUUAAACGUGGAAAGUUACAUUUCACGCAAGUCGAACAGUUCAUUAUUUUAAGUCAUUUGAAAAGCUUAAAGUUAUAUUCGGGGGCGUCGGUGGCCACAACAGUUUUGGUGUUGACACGGCGCUCAUCACUAAACGAACCAGAUGAUGAUAUUAAAGCGGUCCACUUGGAGGAAGGUGGUGAGGAUGCGGAUGCUGAAACACAAAAACGAGGAAGGGUUUUUCAAGUGUGAAGGCUGCGGCACCAUCGUCGGCCGGUGGAUCUCGCUUUUCCGCCACUUCGAACACGAGUGUCCCAUCACCUGCCACAGCCACGACUGCCCGUACUGCAAGUUCAAGACCAACUAUAAACGUCCUUUUGUUGAACACAUGCUUAAACACCGGCCUCAAAUGCUGACCCAAAAUUAGCUUGUCGAGGACGAGAAUGAAAGGUCUGUAGUGAAAAAUCUAAUUGCGAUACCAACACAGUGUAAUCGUUUUUUGUUUUUUUUUACUCACAAGGGAGAAAUUUCCACGUAUUUUAAUAAAGAAAAAAAGUAGGAAAUCUUUUUUUUGUGUAUUGAAAUAUUUAUAUUAUACAUAUAGAUGUCCAUUUGAUACAAUGUUUGUUCAAUUGUAAAUUGUAAUUUUAUAUCUUUCUCAAAAAUUUUGAGGAGCUUUUUAGCUUUUUUGUCGACCUGACUGGCAUUUGAAUUGAAAGAAAGUUAAUUUAUUUUUACCUUUAAAAAAUUUGACGUGUUUUGGUUCAAAUUUUUAUGUGAUAAAUGGUGACGUGUCUCAAUUUUGGAUAAGAUAUAAAAUACAUUAGGGUUUAAUUUAUUUCUACAUUUUUACUCGUACUAUAAACCUUUUUUUUACAUUUCUUCAAAUUUUAUAGGUUUUGGGAUUAAAAAAAAGCCAAAGGAUUCAUGUCCAAGAGAUUUUUACAUCUUAAAAAUGUCACAAAAUCUAGGACAAUGGAUGUUCAAUAUCACAAAAAAAAAAAAAAAAUGAUUGUUGAUUCUAUAAUAUUCUUUCCUCAGUUUGUAAUGGCUGUAAUUUUUUGUUCAAUCAUUAGUGUUCUUUCCCUUUUGCAAUUUUUUCGUAAAAUGUUUGUUACAACAAUAAGACGUAUAGUUUAGGAUAUUUAUAUAUUACUUUGUUGUAAAUAAUGUUUACAGAGUUAAUAGGAUAAAUGGACUUGUAAAUAACCAGCUGACGUGUGGAAAAAAUAAUCGGCUGAAAAAAGUAAGACGUAUCAUCAUUCCUGAGUUUCAAGUAAGCCUUUUAAAAUUGAAAUGUCUUGAUACGUUAAUUUUAAGUAAAUUUUCAAAAUUGUAUUUUUUUUUUUCUAAACCUUUGUAUAUAAGUGUAAAUAAACUGUUUGAACUCUU
Molecule: long non-coding RNA, 3424 nt
Organism: Cimex lectularius (bed bug)
Lineage: Eukaryota; Metazoa; Arthropoda; Insecta; Hemiptera; Cimicidae
Exons: 4
Source: RefSeq, a predicted model, not a curated record